RNAcentral lists this ribosomal RNA (413 nucleotides) under uncultured bacterium. RNAcentral describes it as "bacterial SSU rRNA". It matches the Rfam family "Bacterial small subunit ribosomal RNA", at positions 29 to 490 of the family's 1533-position model. The record is from RNAcentral.
AACGAACGCUGGCGGCAUGCCUAACACAUGCAAGUCGAACGAACUCUUCGGAGUUAGUGGCGCACGGGUGCGUAACGCGUGGGAAUCUGCCCUUGGGUACGGAAUAACUCAGAGAAAUUUGUGCUAAUACCGUAUAAUGACUUCGGUCCAAAGAUUUAUCGCCCAAGGAUGAGCCCGCGUAAGAUUAGCUAGUUGGUGGGUAAAGCCUACCAAGGCGACGAUCUUUAGCUGGUCUGAGAGGAUGAUCAGCCACACUGGGACUGAGACACGGCCCAGACUCCUACGGGAGGCAGCAGUGGGGAAUAUUGGACAAUGGGCGAAAGCCUGAUCCAGCAAUGCCGCGUGAGUGAUGAAGGCCUUAGGGUUGUAAAGCUCUUUACCCGGGAUGAUAAUGACAGUACCGGGAGAAUAAG